GAACUUAGAAGUACUUGAUGUUCUGUUUAUAUUCAGCAAUGUUUGAACACGAUGUUCAAACAAGCCGCCACUGAGCCAUGGAUGGCGAAUUGGAGGCGGUUGCGUACGUUAUUAAUAAAUAGCUCAGAACAUCCUAGUACUUCUUAGUUUC
RNAcentral lists this non-coding RNA (151 nucleotides) under human gut metagenome. The record is from RNAcentral.